GACGAACGCUGGCGGCGUGCCUAAUACAUGCAAGUAGAACGCACAGUUUAUACCGUAGCUUGCUACACCAUAGACUGUGAGUUGCGAACGGGUGAGUAACGCGUAGGUAACCUGCCUGGUAGCGGGGGAUAACUAUUGGAAACGAUAGCUAAUACCGCAUAAUAUUAAUUAUUGCAUGAUAAUUAAUUGAAAGGUGCAAUUGCACCACUACCAGAUGGACCUGCGUUGUAUUAGCUAGUAGGUGAGGUAACGGCUCACCUAGGCGACGAUACAUAGCCGACCUGGGAGGGGGAUCGGCCACACUGGGACUGAGACACGGCCCAGACUCCUACGGGAGGCAGCAGUAGGGAAGCUUCGGCAAUGGACGAAAGUCUGACCGAGCAACGCCGCGUGAGUGAAGAAGGUUUUCGGAUCGUAAAGCUCUGUUGUAAGAGAAGAACGGGUGUGAGAGUGGAAAGUUCACACUGUGACGGUAUCUUACCAGAAAGGGACGGCUAACUACGUG
RNAcentral lists this ribosomal RNA (505 nucleotides) under uncultured bacterium. Its description in RNAcentral is "partial 16S ribosomal RNA". It matches the Rfam family "Bacterial small subunit ribosomal RNA", at positions 28 to 507 of the family's 1533-position model. The record is from RNAcentral.